GACGAACGCUGGCGGCGUGCUUAACACAUGCGAGUCGAAUGGAAAGGCCCUGCUUUUGUGGGGUGCUCGAGUGGCGAACGGGUGAGUAACACGUGAGUAACCUGCCCUUGACUUUGGGAUAACUUCAGGAAACUGGGGCUAAUACCGGAUAGGAGCUCCUGCUGCAUGGUGGGGGUUGGAAAGUUUCGGCGGUUGGGGAUGGACUCGCGGCUUAUCAGCUUGAUGGUGGGGUAGUGGCUUACCAAGGCUUUGACGGGUAGCCGGCCUGAGAGGGUGACCGGCCACAUUGGGACUGAGAUACGGCCCAGACUCCUACGGGAGGCAGCAGUGGGGAAUAUUGCACAAUGGGCGGAAGCCUGAUGCAGCAACGCCGCGUGCGGGAUGACGGCCUUCGGGUUGUAAACCGCUUUCGCCUGUGACGAAGCGUGAGUGACGGUAAUGGGUAAAGAAGCACCGGCUAACUACGUG
Molecule: ribosomal RNA, 468 nt
Filed under: uncultured bacterium
Lineage: Bacteria
Description: partial 16S ribosomal RNA
Rfam family: Bacterial small subunit ribosomal RNA
Source: RNAcentral